UAAUACGGAGGGUGCAAGCGUUAAUCGGAAUUACUGGGCGUAAAGCGCACGCAGGCGGUUUGUUAAGUCAGAUGUGAAAUCCCCGGGCUCAACCUGGGAACUGCAUUUGAAACUGGCAAGCUAGAGUCUCGUAGAGGGGGGUAGAAUUCCAGGUGUAGCGGUGAAAUGCGUAGAGAUCUGGAGGAAUACCGGUGGCGAAGGCGGCCCCCUGGACGAAGACUGACGCUCAGGUGCGAAAGCGUGGGGAGCAAACAGGAUUAGAUACCCUGGUAGUCCACGCUGUAAACGAUGUCGAUUUGGAGGUUGUGCCCUUUGAGGUCGUGGCUUCCGGAGCUAACGCGUUAAAUCGACCGCCUGGGGAGUACGGCCGCAAGGUUA
This 378-nucleotide ribosomal RNA is filed under the name uncultured Serratia sp. RNAcentral describes it as "bacterial SSU rRNA". It matches the Rfam family "Bacterial small subunit ribosomal RNA", at positions 521 to 896 of the family's 1533-position model. Lineage: Bacteria; Pseudomonadati; Pseudomonadota; Gammaproteobacteria; Enterobacterales; Yersiniaceae. The record is from RNAcentral.